AUUCCAGCUCCAAUAGCGUAUAUUAAAGUUGUUGCAGUUAAAACGCUCGUAGUCGGAUUUCGGGGCGGGCCGACCGGUCUGCCGAUGGGUAUGCACUGGCCGGCGCGUCCUUCCACCCGGAGACCGCGCCUACUCUUAACUGAGCGGGCGCGGGAGACGGGUCUUUUACUUUGAAAAAAUCAGAGUGUUUCAAGCAGGCAGUCGCUCUUGCAUGGAUUAGCAUGGGAUAAUGAAAUAGGACUCUGGUGCUAUUUUGUUGGUUUCGAACACCGGAGUAAUGAUUAACAGGGACAAUUGGGGGCAUUAGUAUUCAGACGACAGAGGUGAAAUUCUUGGACCGUCUGAAGACUGACUACUGCGAAAGCAUUUGCCAAGGAUGGUUUCAUCA
RNAcentral lists this ribosomal RNA (388 nucleotides) under Gephyrocapsa cf. muellerae. RNAcentral's name for it is "partial small subunit ribosomal RNA". It matches the Rfam family "Eukaryotic small subunit ribosomal RNA", at positions 582 to 975 of the family's 1831-position model. Lineage: Eukaryota; Haptophyta; Isochrysidales; Noelaerhabdaceae. The record is from RNAcentral.